RNAcentral lists this ribosomal RNA (769 nucleotides) under uncultured bacterium. RNAcentral's name for it is "bacterial SSU rRNA". It matches the Rfam family "Bacterial small subunit ribosomal RNA", at positions 28 to 776 of the family's 1533-position model. The record is from RNAcentral.
AUUGAACGCUGGCGGCAGGCCUAACACAUGCAAGUCGAGCGGCAGCGACUUAACUGAACCUUCGGGGAACGUUAAGGGCGGCGAGCGGCGGACGGGUGAGUAAUGCCUGGGAAUAUGCCCUGAUGUGGGGGAUAACUAUUGGAAACGAUAGCUAAUACCGCAUAAUCUCUUCGGAGCAAAGAGGGGGACCUUCGGGCCUCUCGCGUCAGGAUUAGCCCAGGUGGGAUUAGCUUGUUGGUGAGGUAAUGGCUCACCAAGGCAACGAUCCCUAGCUGGUCUGAGAGGAUGAUCAGCCACACUGGAACUGAGACACGGUCCAGACUCCUACGGGAGGCAGCAGUGGGGAAUAUUGCACAAUGGGGGAAACCCUGAUGCAGCCAUGCCGCGUGUGUGAAGAAGGCCUUCGGGUUGUAAAGCACUUUCAGUAGGGAGGAAGGUAGUGUAGUUAACACCUGCAUUAUUUGACGUUACCUACAGAAGAAGCACCGGCUAACUCCGUGCCAGCAGCCGCGGUAAUACGGAGGGUGCGAGCGUUAAUCGGAAUUACUGGGCGUAAAGCGCAUGCAGGCGGCCUGUUAAGUCAGAUGUGAAAGCCCGGGGCUUAACCUCGGAAUUGCAUUUGAAACUGGCAGGCUAGAGUCUUGUAGAGGGGGGUAGAAUUUCAGGUGUAGCGGUGAAAUGCGUAGAGAUCUGAAGGAAUACCAGUGGCGAAGGCGGCCCCCUGGACAAAGACUGACGCUUAGAUGCGAAAGCGUGGGGAGCAAACAGG